GACGAACGCUGGCGGCGUGCUUAACACAUGCAAGUCGAACGAGGGAGAGAUGAGAAGCUUGCUUCUUAUCAAUUCGAGUGGCAAACGGGUGAGUAACGCGUAAGCAACCUGCCCUUCAGAGGGGGGACAACAGCUGGAAACGGCUGCUAAUACCGAAUACGUUCUUUUUGUCGCAUGGCAGAGGGAANAAAGGGAGGCUCUUCGGAGCUUUCGCUGAAGGGAGGGGCUUGCGUCUGAUUAGCUAGUUGGAGGGGUAACAGCCUACCAAGGCCACGAUCAGUAGCCGACCUGAGAGGGUGAUCGGCCACAUUGGAACUGAGACACGGUCCAAACUCCUACGGGAGGCAGCAGUGGGGAAUAUUGCACAAUGGGCGAAAGCCUGAUGCAGCAACGCCGCGUGAACGAUGAAGGUCUUCGGAUCGUAAAGUUCUGUCGCAGGGGAAGAUAAUGACGGUACCCUGUGAGGAAGCACCGGCUAACUACGUGCCAGCAGCC
Molecule: ribosomal RNA, 495 nt
Filed under: uncultured bacterium
Lineage: Bacteria
Description: bacterial SSU rRNA
Rfam family: Bacterial small subunit ribosomal RNA
Source: RNAcentral